RNAcentral lists this ribosomal RNA (254 nucleotides) under uncultured bacterium. RNAcentral's name for it is "partial 16S ribosomal RNA". It matches the Rfam family "Bacterial small subunit ribosomal RNA", at positions 524 to 776 of the family's 1533-position model. The record is from RNAcentral.
UACGUAGGAGGCGAGCGUUGUCCGGAGUUACUGGGCGUAAAGGGUGCGCAGGCGGCGGUUCGCGUGGAUAGGUGAAAUCUCCUGGCUUACCUGGGAGGGUGGUAUCCAGACGGGAUCGCUUGAGGGUCGCAGAGGGGCGUGGAAUUCCGGGUGGAGCGGUGAAAUGCGUAGAGAUCCGGAGGAACACCAGGGGCGAAGGCGGCCGACUGGCCGAGUGCUGACGCUGAGGCGCGACGGCGUGGGGAGCAAACCGG